UGGCAAUACGGAUCAAAAUCGAUCAAUUUGGGGGAAAUUAUAUUGGUACGACUGAUAGCGAAACAUAUGCUAAAGUUUUAUCGAUUUCACAAGUGUCAUUGGUGUCAACUUUGGUUAUGUUGUGUUAUUGUUUGAUUUUUCGCGUUUUUCUACUUUUCUGCUCGUGUAAUCGUAUCAGUUCUUUUCAGAACUAUAACAGUUCUUUAUAGAACUCCAAGUUAACUGUCCUGUACCGUGGUACGUGUCGCUUGCUUGAACGUAAACAUUCCACCAUGCCGAAGCCCUUGCACAAAGAUGUAAAGCAAAUGGACGAUAAUUUAGUGGACUAUUUUGCUAAAGAACGCGAUAGCGGGGAACCUCUUUUACCACUAACAGCUGUUCAAGACAGGGUUGCUGCUGCUCUGGGUGUAUGUGUGCGAACAGUGAACUCCGUGGUACAACAAAUAAAAACCGGAGAAGGUGUACAUUCUCCCAAAAAAUAGAGACCCCCGAACAAAGCAAGUGUGUGAUAUUAGCACUUCGGAGCAGUGUGCUAUUCGAGAAUGCUUAUAUGGAAUGGUCGAAGAAAAAAUACAUGUUACACGAUCGCCAUUAAUUGAUUGCUUGAAGGAGAAACAUAUAUUUGAGGGUUCUGUGAGCUCGUUAGGAAAAAUUUUACAUUCUCAAUUGGGUUUCGUUAUUCGCCAACCAGUGUACGGAAGCGUCUUAUGGAAUUACAACAUGUUGUUCAUGCAAG
This is a long non-coding RNA of Zophobas morio, 736 nucleotides long. RefSeq lists it as uncharacterized. The record is from RefSeq and is a predicted model, not a curated record. NCBI's taxonomy places the organism in Eukaryota, Metazoa, Arthropoda, Insecta, Coleoptera, Tenebrionidae. The transcript has 3 exons.